Molecule: ribosomal RNA, 310 nt
Filed under: uncultured Rhodopseudomonas sp.
Lineage: Bacteria; Pseudomonadati; Pseudomonadota; Alphaproteobacteria; Hyphomicrobiales; Nitrobacteraceae
Description: bacterial SSU rRNA
Rfam family: Bacterial small subunit ribosomal RNA
Source: RNAcentral
CGGGCGUAGCAAUACGUCAGUGGCAGACGGGUGAGUAACGCGUGGGAACGUACCUUUUGGUUCGGAACAACUGAGGGAAACUUCAGCUAAUACCGGAUAAGCCCUUACGGGGAAAGAUUUAUCGCCGAAAGAUCGGCCCGCGUCUGAUUAGCUAGUUGGUGAGGUAAUGGCUCACCAAGGCGACGAUCAGUAGCUGGUCUGAGAGGAUGAUCAGCCACAUUGGGACUGAGACACGGCCCAAACUCCUACGGGAGGCAGCAGUGGGGAAUAUUGGACAAUGGGGGCAACCCUGAUCCAGCCAUGCCGCGUG